UACGGGGGGGGCAAGCGUUGUUCGGAAUUACUGGGCGUAAAGCGUGCGCAGGCGGCGCGUUAAGACAGGUGUGAAAGCCCCGAGCUUAACUUGGGAAUUGCGCUUGUGACUGGCGAGCUGGAGUGUGGCAGAGGGAGGUGGAAUUCCACGUGUAGCAGUGAAAUGCGUAGAGAUGUGGAGGAACACCGAUGGCGAAGGCAGCCUCCUGGGCCAGCACUGACGCUCAUGCACGAAAGCGUGGGGAGCAAACAGG
RNAcentral lists this ribosomal RNA (253 nucleotides) under uncultured bacterium. Its description in RNAcentral is "partial 16S ribosomal RNA". It matches the Rfam family "Bacterial small subunit ribosomal RNA", at positions 524 to 776 of the family's 1533-position model. The record is from RNAcentral.